UGGGGCGUAGCCAAGCGGUAAGGCAGCGGAUUUUGAUCGCCAUUCGGAGGUUCGAUCCCUCCCGCCCCAG
This 70-nucleotide transfer RNA is filed under the name Bradyrhizobium arachidis. RNAcentral describes it as "tRNA_Pseudo_Pseudo". It matches the Rfam family "tRNA". Rfam says of the family: Transfer RNA (tRNA) molecules are approximately 80 nucleotides in length. Their secondary structure includes four short double-helical elements and three loops (D, anti-codon, and T loops). Lineage: Bacteria; Pseudomonadati; Pseudomonadota; Alphaproteobacteria; Hyphomicrobiales; Nitrobacteraceae. The record is from RNAcentral.